GAGCCUUCCCCGUGUGCGGCAUCACCCAGCUCUGUCCUUCGUGCCUCCCGGGAGCCCAGGGAGUCGGGGCCACCGGACGCUGGACCUGAGAACCUGGACCCAGGCCCGGUCUGCCCGGGAGUUGGCAAGUGCUGAGCACUGUGUCCCCUUGCACGGCCACUCGGGGCCUCCACGCACCUAAAGGACAGCUCCUGAAGCAUCCUGGCCCUGCACUCACGGUGGCACGCGGGCGCCGUCCCCGAGCCCAGGGGCCAGGCCCAGGGCCCUUCCCCGAAAUCUGCCAUGAAGGUGAACUCGGUUACACUCAGGCCCAGGGCUCCCGAGGCUGGUGGCGGCUGCUCCGCAUGAGGCCUGCUGGCUCCCAGGGGCCGCCCUCCCUUGAGAAGGGGGUGCCCACUACGGCUGGGCCAUCUGCAAGGGGCCCGGUGAUCACAUUAUGGAGUCAUUUUUGAACUGGGUUCUAUUAACUACUAAUUAGUGAGCCACAGUCAUGACAUCCUUUGUAAGGAAAAAUGUUCCUAACUGAAGCGCUCGCCCAUGUCCGCGGUGAGACGCCUGCAUGGGGCGGUCUCUGCUUCUCCCCAAGGACCCUCCUCGCCGCCCGCUCGGCUGCACCGGCAGAUGGUGGCAGGGGACAAGGACGGCGCGGUGGGCCCCGCGCCCAGCUCACCGCGAGUGCUGCUCCCUUCACAAAACGCUAGAGAGACCAGCACCCUCCUUGCCCCGCCCCUGCUUGGGGCCUCUCUGUGCUUGGAGAGGAGGCCCAGGCUUCCUCCUCUUCCUGGAGCGGGCGUGAGGAGGGGUCUGCAGGCUCUGUCUCCCGGACAGAGCAGCCUGGAAAGUCCCGUGCUCCGGGGACGCCUGUCUUUGACUCUGUUCUCCUGGGCCGCAAGGCUGAGGCCCGAGUGCGGAGGCUGCACCUGCUCAGCUCCACUGUGACCUCUUGGUGCCGGGGACACGCCUGCCCCCGCGCACAUUGCCGCCCGGCCCACCUCCUGUCUGAGCCCUCUCAGCAGACAAGGUCCUUGGUGCCUGGAGUCAUCAGGACAGAUGGUGGAGCCCAAGUCCCUGUGUGGGGAGGGGAGGAGCAAGUCCUAGUGUAGGGAAGGGGUGAGUCCCAGCGUGGUGAGGGGGUGUCUUUCCCGUCCAUGGUGCCCCGUCGAAGCUCCACACACUGGACAGGCCACAAGUUCUCAUGGGACUCGGGCCCAUGCCUGGCCCAGUGUGGACGCCCUACUGAAGCGGCAUCCCAGGCCCCAGCAGCUCAGACUCCCCCCAGCUGCCCUCCCCAUGCCCAGCUUGAUGGGUACACAGUGUUGCCCGCUAGUGUCCACGCCCUCCCGAGGGGUCCCUGGGCUACAGCAAUGUUUGGUCUGAGUGAAUGAGCCAUGGGGGAACAGACGCCCCUGUAGCUGCAGACCCCCUGCCACAAAGCACAAGGUGGCAGGGGGUGUCCCAGAAGGCCCCGCAGAGAAGGCAGCUUCGCACCAACCUCGUGAGGCCUUGGGGGUCAGCAGCUGGGCCAGGAGCUGACCUGGGAGGCAGGGAGGCAGGGAUUACCUCUGGAGCCAUAUCUGGGGCUGGGACUUUGCCUGAGCCAGGUGUUCUAGGAAUGCACUUUAGCUGCAGAGUCCUUAUCCAUCUGGCUCAGCGCUGGGGAGGGCAACAGGGAGUGGUGGGGUCUGUGGCAAAGUGAGGUGCCGCCAUGUCCACGGGCGGCUGGUGCUGAGCUCACAGCUGCUCUGGGCAAACUUUUUCCAUAGAUGCCUCAAAUCUGAAUUUUUAGGAAGCAUAUCCAGAUUUUAAGGUGUUGACUAACUACUAUUUCACCUAAAAAAAAGCCACUGAGCCGGCUCCCCCAUGUGGGCCGGACACAGCAUUGUACUAGAAUCCCAGCAGCGAGGGGGAUCCCGCACUUCCUGGGGGCCUGCGGGGGCUGCAGUGGGUGUCUGGGAUUCCAGGGUGGGGGCGAAACCCUGCUUUUGAGGAGCCCUCAGAUGGGGGCGGGGAGGGAGCCAUUCAGGGACGUCCUCCAUCGCAGCAGGCAGGAGCUGAGUGGCUGCUGGGAAGGGUGAAGACAUUCUCCUCUACACUCAGGAGGCACACGGGGCUCUCAGAUUAGACGGCACCGAGUGGGAAGGUGGUGGUUUCAUGAUCAAUUUCCUGACCAGAGCCACCUGCAGAGGAAUCUUUUUCCUGAAUACCAUAUUUUCUAAGCUAUUAGGAGCACAGCUUGGCAAUGACUGAGGGUGUCUGGACGGUGAGGUGUGCGCUGGGAAGCCUUGAGGUGCCGUCUGGUCUGGCGUGCCCCAAGGACACAUGUGGGGAGGGUGCCAGGCCCUGAGUCUGUGGGUGUUGUCAGGAGGUGGCCCCUCUUUUCCUGGUUCUUUGCCUGCUGGUGCUGGUCUGUGAAUGCCCUCGGGGCCUCCUCCUGGAAGAGCCUCUUCCCUGGGCCCGCUGAGCUGCAGAGGCUGCAGGUGCGUCUCUGCAUGUGGCUGCGCUUUGUGGGCUGUGUCCUUUCUCCUGCUGGCUGGGAUUGGCUGCUGAGGCGCCAAUCCUUCCUCUGCCCAGAUGUGGCUUGGUUCCGUUGGAGUCCAGUGUCAGAGGGCUGAGUUGGAUGUUUCUAGAUCAGCUGUGUCCACAGGGGCACUGGCCUCCUCGUCACAGUCCCUUCCCCGGGCCCGUCACUGGUGCUGGGCACCACACUUAGGCCUGGCCGUCCUCUGCCCAGGAGAAAAGGGGGAGUGGGUGCUGGGAGUGUGCACAGGUGUGUGUGCAGGGCUGUGGGUGUGCGCACACCUGCGUGUUUAAUCAUAAUACAAAGUGGGCCGGGAACCUCACCCUGAAGUGUGAAGGGCAGUGCGUCAUUUAGAAUCCUUCUCUUUUUCUCCUUCUUGAGCAGCUGAACGUUGAGAGGGGCCCCGUCUGGUGUGGCCGUGUCUGGUCCCCCAUGCAGGCCCUGCACCGUGGACUCCCAACCUGCGGGGAUCCGUCCCCAAAGACGCCACUAGUUCUGCCAGCCCAGGGUUUCCUGAGUGUUUCCCGAGAGGCCCUGGUUGCACGGAGUAAGUUCUAGUUUAGUCCUGGUUCGUUCUCCCCAAACGUCUCUCAGGAGCUGUGUUUCUUCUUCAUGACCUUCCCCUUAGACCUGUGUCAGAUCAGGGUUAGAGGUUGGUCUCCUGGCCUGUGUGGCCACCCUGGCGCCCUCGACGCUCUGCCAUGGGCUCCCUUUCUUUCAUCGGAGGCAGCAUCUGGCCAUAGUGAAACUGAGUGUGGGGAGGGGGACGCAGAGCUCCCAGGUCCCAGCCCACAGGUGCCUCGGUGGUGAAAUCCCCUGACACACUGAGUGGGGCUUCCAGGACGGGGGACGGAAGGAAAAGGAUUAAGGGGUUAGGUAAGUGCAAAUAUGGCUUUGAAGGUUUAAAAUCCUUCACUCAUGUUGUGAGGGAAGAACAGGUACUAGACUAGAAGCCAUGUCUGGUUGCCCUUGAGGGACCCCUCAGCCAAUGUGAAGACGUGUCCAGGCAGCCCUGGGAGACAUCCCUGUGGGGGGGCCAGUGCAGGAAACGGACCGCCGGGGGAAGCUCCUGUCAUCCCAGGGUGGGCCAGGCUGGGACUACAGUCAUGUGCACAGCAUGGCUGAGAUAAUGAGCAAGACUCCAAGGUCCACCCAGGGGCCCGAUGGCCUUUAGGGAGACCUAGCACUGUUGCAGGAUCAGGAGGACCGGAGAGAGACCUUGGAGUGUACACAGGAGGAUAUCUUUAUCAUUGAGUGCACUCAGACCCAGCAGACUCAAUGUCCAAAGACUGGGCCCAGAACAAAGACAGCGCCUGACUUUUACACACACUUCACAAAAGGGGGUGGGCUAGCUUGAAGCAAGCUUACAGUGGCGUGAAAGCAGGGAUACAGAGGCAGGACAAACUCAGGAUUGCACAUGACUGUUGCCAAGCAACCCACAUGUCCGUUAUCUAGGUUAACCUGGGCACGGGCUUAUCCCAUAACCUUCACUAUGUUGCCCAGGUGGCCGUAACUCAGGCCUGCUCAGAGGCUCAUGACCUUCACUUUACUGCUUAGAUAAAACAAUGCUUGAAGUCAAUAGUUACAGAGAACAGGAAUUUAUAAACUCAUUCCAUAAAACAAAGGAAAAUUUGUUUUUCUUCUCCCUAUAUUGAGGGAGUGCUGGGAGAGUCUCCAGAGCACAUUAGAUAAUAUUAUUAUUAAGACUUUUCCUGGGUUUGGGCUGUGCUUGUUGCUGCCUCUAGGACAAGUUAGCCUAAUACGGGAAAGCUUAUUUCUCUUUCUUUUUAAUUUUAUUUUUCUUUAAUUUCCCACCUCAACACGACCUGAACGUGGCUUAGUCUGCUGCUGGUGUUUGUGGAGGGCUGAAUAGUGUCCUUAGGAAAUAUGUUCAAGCCCUAACCUGUGAACACAGACAUUUUUGGAAAUGGGUUAUUGCAGAUGUUAUGCAUUAGGAUGACCUCAUGAUGGAUUAGGGUGGGCCCUAAAUCCAAUGACCAGCAUGCUUUUAAGAAGGGGAAAUGUGUGCACAGACACACAGGGAAGGUACGGUGAAGCCGGAGGGAGAGAAGAAGGGACGCGUCUACACUCCAAGUGCAGAGAGAAAAGGUUCAGGGUUGAGGCUCCUGAAACAAGACGGAUUCACCAGAGAAAAGCGAACAAAUGUAUUUUAGUUUUAUGUGACUUGGAGCCUUCGUAAGGAAAUGAAGACCCAGAGCCAGGUGGACCUGUGUGUUUGUGCUUUGGCUUGAUGAAGAGGGGAUGGCCGUGGGGAAACGUGGAUGAGGACGGGAGGCUGUGAUGUGAUGGGUGAACUGGGCACCUCAGCACGGCCUGUGUGCCCGGGGGAGAGGGGAUAGGUGAGCAGGGAAAUGACUGUGUUGACUAUACACAGCCACCACCUAAACCUCAGUGUUUGCUUUGUAAUUGAGCUCACGCAAGCAAAGCUAUCUCCAGCGGGGACUCUCUUCUAAAGAGCACGCACACUUUAAUUUUUACCUGUCCUCGAACCAACCCUUUGUUCAUUAUAACAGUGAAAAAGAUACCCCUGGGUGGAGAUGUAAGAUGCUAAUGAGACACACCACCUACAAACAAGCAUGUGUGCCGACGACCACCAGACUGUGCUUCCUGAUAACACCUCUCCCACUUUCUUUUUUUUUUAAGGUGGGGUCUAGAUCUAUCCCCAGUCUGGAGUGCAGUGGUGAGAUCUCAGCUCACCACAGCCUCUGCCUCCCAGGUUCAAGCGAUUCUCCUGCCUCAGCCUCCUGAGUAGCUGGGAUUAUAGGCAUGCGCCACCAUGCCCAGCUAAUUUUGUAUUUUUUUUUAGUAGAGACGAGGUUUCUCCAUGUUGGUCAGGCUGGUCUUGAACUCCCGACCUCAGAUGAUCCACUCGCCUUGGCCUCCCAAAGUGCUGAGAUUACAGGCAUGAGCCCCCAUGCCCGGCUACCUCUCCCAUCUUCUUAUGGAUCAUCGGGUGAGACUCCCAUAAAGGCAGCCUCCCUAUGGCCGGUCUCUGCUGUCUCACCCUCAUGACCCACCCUGAGUCCUUUCUCCCUUAGGGUGGCCUGUCUAUUCUGCACCUCACUUUCAAAAUACUCUUUUUUUUUUU
This 5627-nucleotide long non-coding RNA is filed under the name Homo sapiens (human). Its description in RNAcentral is "non-protein coding lnc-RTP5-6:2". The record is from RNAcentral. Lineage: Eukaryota; Metazoa; Chordata; Mammalia; Primates; Hominidae.